AUUGAACGCUGGCGGCAGGCCUAACACAUGCAAGUCGAGCGAGCGGCGGACGGGUGAGUAAUGUCUGGGAAACUGCCUGAUGGAGGGGGAUAACUACUGGAAACGGUAGCUAAUACCGCAUACCAUCAGAUGUGCCCAGAUGGGAUGAGCUAGUAGGUGGGGUAACGGCUCACCUAGGCGACGAUCCCUAGCUGGUCUGAGAGGAUGACCAGCCACACUGGAUCGGAGACACGUUCCAUACUCAUACGGGCGGCAGAAGUGGGGAAUAUGUAACAAUGGGCGCAAGCCUGAUGCAGCCAUGCAGCGUGUGUGAAGAAGGCCUUCCGUUUGUAAAGCACUUUCAGCGGGGAGGCGUUACCCGCAGAAGAAGCACCGGCUAACUCCGUGCCAGCAGCCGCGGUAAUAC
This 406-nucleotide ribosomal RNA is filed under the name uncultured bacterium. RNAcentral's name for it is "partial 16S ribosomal RNA". It matches the Rfam family "Bacterial small subunit ribosomal RNA", at positions 30 to 526 of the family's 1533-position model. The record is from RNAcentral.